This 121-nucleotide ribosomal RNA is filed under the name Mus caroli (Ryukyu mouse). The record is from RNAcentral. Lineage: Eukaryota; Metazoa; Chordata; Mammalia; Rodentia; Muridae.
GUCUAUGGCCAUACCAUCCUGAAUGCGCCCGAUCUCGUCUGAUCUCAGAAGCUAAGCAGGAUCAGGCCUGGUUGGGAGACUUGGAUGGGAGACUGUCUGCGAAUACCUGGUGUUGUAGGCU